This 253-nucleotide ribosomal RNA is filed under the name uncultured bacterium. Its description in RNAcentral is "partial 16S ribosomal RNA". It matches the Rfam family "Bacterial small subunit ribosomal RNA", at positions 524 to 776 of the family's 1533-position model. The record is from RNAcentral.
UACAGAGGGUGCAAGCGUUAAUCGGAAUUACUGGGCGUAAAGCGCGCGUAGGUGGUUCGUUAAGUUGGAUGUGAAAUCCCCGGGCUCAACCUGGGAACUGCAUUCAAAACUGUCGAGCUAGAGUAUGGUAGAGGGUGGUGGAAUUUCCUGUGUAGCGGUGAAAUGCGUAGAUAUAGGAAGGAACACCAGUGGCGAAGGCGCCUUGCUGGCCAAUUUCUGACGCUGAGGCGCGAAAGCGUGGGGAGCAAACAGG